UACGAAGGGGGCUAGCGUUGUUCGGAAUUACUGGGCGUAAAGCGCACGUAGGCGGAUAUUUAAGUCAGGGGUGAAAUCCCAGAGCUCAACUCUGGAACUGCCUUUGAUACUGGGUAUCUUGAGUAUGGAAGAGGUAAGUGGAAUUGCGAGUGUAGAGGUGAAAUUCGUAGAUAUUCGGCAGGAACACCAGUGGCGAAGGCGGCUUACUGGUCCAUAACUGACGCUGAGGUGCGAAAGCGUGGGGAGCAAACAGG
Molecule: ribosomal RNA, 254 nt
Filed under: uncultured bacterium
Lineage: Bacteria
Description: partial 16S ribosomal RNA
Rfam family: Bacterial small subunit ribosomal RNA
Source: RNAcentral